This 506-nucleotide ribosomal RNA is filed under the name uncultured bacterium. RNAcentral describes it as "partial 16S ribosomal RNA". It matches the Rfam family "Bacterial small subunit ribosomal RNA", at positions 30 to 523 of the family's 1533-position model. The record is from RNAcentral.
AGUGAACGCUGGCGGCAGGCCUAACACAUGCAAGUCGAACGGCAGCACGGCAGUAGCAAUACUGUGGGUGGCGAGUGGCGGACGGGUGAGGAAUACAUGGGAAUCUACCCUGUCGUGGGGGAUAACGUAGGGAAACUUACGCUAAUACCGCAUACGACCGAGAGGUGAAAGCGGCGGACCGCAAGGCGUCGCGCGAUUGGAUGAGCCCAUGUGGGAGUAGCUAGUUGGCGGGGUAAAGGCCCACCAAGGCGACGACCCGUAGCUGGUCUGAGAGGAUGAUCAGCCACACUGGAACGGCGACACGGUCCAGACUCCUACGGGAGGCAGCAGUGGGGAAUAUUGGACAAUGGGCGCAAGCCUGAUCCAGCCAUGCCGCGUGAGUGAAGAAGGCCUUCGGGUUGUAAAGCUCUUUUGUCCGGAAAGAAAAGCUCUCGGUUAAUACCCGGGGGUGAUGACGGUACCGGAAGAAUAAGCACCGGCUAACUUCGUGCCAGCCGCCGCGGUAA